This 256-nucleotide ribosomal RNA is filed under the name uncultured bacterium. Its description in RNAcentral is "partial 16S ribosomal RNA". It matches the Rfam family "Bacterial small subunit ribosomal RNA", at positions 98 to 354 of the family's 1533-position model. The record is from RNAcentral.
CGGGACGGGUGAGUAACGCGUGGAUAACCUGCCGUAUACUGGGGGAUAACACUUAGAAAUAGGUGCUAAUACCGCAUAAGCGCACAGUCUCGCAUGAGACGGUGUGAAAAACUCCGGUGGUAUACGAUGGAUCCGCGUCUGAUUAGCUUGUUGGCGGGGUAACAGCCCACCAAGGCGACGAUCAGUAGCCGGCCUGAGAGGGUGAACGGCCACAUUGGGACUGAGACACGGCCCAAACUCCUACGGGAGGCAGCAG